RNAcentral lists this ribosomal RNA (605 nucleotides) under Mesorhizobium sp. ERR6. Its description in RNAcentral is "bacterial SSU rRNA". It matches the Rfam family "Bacterial small subunit ribosomal RNA", at positions 81 to 721 of the family's 1533-position model. The record is from RNAcentral. Lineage: Bacteria; Pseudomonadati; Pseudomonadota; Alphaproteobacteria; Hyphomicrobiales; Phyllobacteriaceae.
GCCCCGCAAGGGGAGCGGCAGACGGGUGAGUAACGCGUGGGAAUCUACCCAUCUCUACGGAACAACUCCGGGAAACUGGAGCUAAUACCGUAUACGUCCUUCGGGAGAAAGAUUUAUCGGAGAUGGAUGAGCCCGCGUUGGAUUAGCUAGUUGGUGGGGUAAUGGCCUACCAAGGCGACGAUCCAUAGCUGGUCUGAGAGGAUGAUCAGCCACACUGGGACUGAGACACGGCCCAGACUCCUACGGGAGGCAGCAGUGGGGAAUAUUGGACAAUGGGCGAAAGCCUGAUCCAGCCAUGCCGCGUGAGUGAUGAAGGCCCUAGGGUUGUAAAGCUCUUUCAACGGUGAAGAUAAUGACGGUAACCGUAGAAGAAGCCCCGGCUAACUUCGUGCCAGCAGCCGCGGUAAUACGAAGGGGGCUAGCGUUGUUCGGAAUUACUGGGCGUAAAGCGCACGUAGGCGGAUACUUAAGUCAGGGGUGAAAUCCCGGGGCUCAACCCCGGAACUGCCUUUGAUACUGGGUAUCUCGAGUCCGGAAGAGGUGAGUGGAAUUCCGAGUGUAGAGGUGAAAUUCGUAGAUAUUCGGAGGAACACCAGUGGCGAAGG